GACGAACGCUGGCGGCGCGCCUAACACAUGCAAGUCGAACGAGCGAGCGAGAGCUUGCUUUCUUGAGCGAGUGGCGAACGGGUGAGUAACGCGUGAGGAACCUGCCUCAAAGAGGGGGACAACAGUUGGAAACGACUGCUAAUACCGCAUAAGCCCACGUGCCGCCUUCGGGUUGAGGGAAAAGGAGCAAUCUGCUUUGGGUUGGCCUCGCGUCCGAUUAGCUUGAUGGUGAGGUAACGGCCCACCAAUGCGACGGACGGUAGCCGGACCGAGAGGCUGAACCGCGACAUUGGAGAUGAGCAACGGCCCGGACUCCUACGGGAGGCGGCAGAGGGGAAUAUAGCACAAUGGGGGAAGUCGUGAUGCAGCGACGCCGCGUGGAGGAAGAAGGUGUUUGGAUAGUAAUCUCCUGUUGUUGAGGAAGAUAAUGACGGUACUGAACAAGGAAGUGACGGCUAACUACGUG
RNAcentral lists this ribosomal RNA (466 nucleotides) under uncultured bacterium. RNAcentral describes it as "partial 16S ribosomal RNA". It matches the Rfam family "Bacterial small subunit ribosomal RNA", at positions 28 to 507 of the family's 1533-position model. The record is from RNAcentral.